UGCGAAGGGGGCUAGCGUUGCUCGGAAUCACUGGGCGUAAAGGGUGCGUAGGCGGGUCUUUAAGUCAGGGGUGAAAUCCUGGAGCUCAACUCCAGAACUGCCUUUGAUACUGAAGAUCUUGAGUUCGGGAGAGGUGAGUGGAACUGCGAGUGUAGAGGUGAAAUUCGUAGAUAUUCGGAAGAACACCAGUGGCGAAGGCGGCUCACUGGACUGGUAUUGACGCUGAGGUGCGAAAGCGUGGGGAGCAAACAGG
Molecule: ribosomal RNA, 253 nt
Filed under: uncultured bacterium
Lineage: Bacteria
Description: partial 16S ribosomal RNA
Rfam family: Bacterial small subunit ribosomal RNA
Source: RNAcentral